AUCGCUAUUCUGGUCGUAGUGUGACGUCACUUGUCAGCUGACCUACUUUGACGUGCACUUCAUCGAACAAAUGAUUUACUUUUUCUGACUGCUACACGUCAAGCACUUCAGCGAGUCCUGAUGCUGCCCGACAGCUGCAGAUGCUUCUUCAGGAAGUGGCCCACCUGUUCCGAGUAGGCCACGUCGCAGAACACCCAGAUCUCAGCCCGCUCACGCUGGAUGUUGGCGUUGCACGUGGGCAAGCCGGCAUGCCGGGCGGCACUACUCAGAGCCCGCCACAUCUGCGGGAGGGAGUGAGAUUUGUGACGACUGAUGACCCACUUGGACCUCUGACGCGGGUGGAGCGCAUGCACGGACACGGUGCAUCGGAAGCGCUUCGAGAGCGAAGGCGACACCUGAUGCACGUCUUUAGAAGUCAACACACUCCAGGACCGUUUGACU
Long non-coding RNA from Syngnathus typhle (broad-nosed pipefish), 441 nucleotides. RefSeq lists it as uncharacterized. The transcript has 3 exons. The record is from RefSeq and is a predicted model, not a curated record. Lineage: Eukaryota; Metazoa; Chordata; Actinopteri; Syngnathiformes; Syngnathidae.